GCACCAAAAGACGAGUGGCGGACGGGUGCGUAACGCGUAUGCAAUCUACCUUUUACUAGGGUAUAGCCCAGAGAAAUUUGGAUUAAUCCCCUAUAAUAUCAUGAAAUCGCAUGGUUUUAUGAUUAAAGCUUCGGUGGUAAAAGAUGAGCAUGCGUCCUAUUAGUUUGUAGGUGAGGUAACGGCUCACCUAGACUACGAUAGGUAGGGGCCCUGAGAGGGGGAUCCCCCACACUGGUACUGAGACACGGACCAGACUCCUACGGGAGGCAGCAGUGAGGAAUAUUGGACAAUGGACGAAAGUCUGAUCCAGCUAUGCCGCGUGCAGGAUGACAGCCCUACGGGUUGUAAACUGCUUUUAUACAGGAAGAAAAACCCCGACGUGUCGGGGCUUGACGGUACUGUAAGAAUAAGGAUCGGCUAACUCCGUGCCAGCAGCCGCGGUAAUACGGAGGAUCCAAGCGUUAUCCGGAAUUAUUGGGUUUAAAGGGUCCGCAGGCGGUUUUUUAAGUCAGAGGUGAAAUCCUACAGCUCAACUGUAGAAUUGCCUUUGAAACUGAAAGACUUGAGUUAUUGUGAAGUGGUUAGAAUGUGUGGUGUAGCGGUGAAAUGCAUAGAUAUCACACAGAAUACCAAUUGCGAAGGCAGAUCAC
This 650-nucleotide ribosomal RNA is filed under the name uncultured marine bacterium. Its description in RNAcentral is "bacterial SSU rRNA". It matches the Rfam family "Bacterial small subunit ribosomal RNA", at positions 81 to 729 of the family's 1533-position model. The record is from RNAcentral.